This 375-nucleotide ribosomal RNA is filed under the name uncultured Pelotomaculum sp. RNAcentral describes it as "bacterial SSU rRNA". It matches the Rfam family "Bacterial small subunit ribosomal RNA", at positions 1008 to 1382 of the family's 1533-position model. Lineage: Bacteria; Bacillati; Bacillota; Clostridia; Eubacteriales; Desulfotomaculaceae. The record is from RNAcentral.
UACGUUUUCACCUCGGGUGACAGGGAGACAGGUGGUGCAUGGUUGUCGUCAGCUCGUGUCGUGAGAUGUUGGGUUAAGUCCCGCAACGAGCGCAACCCCUACGUUUAGUUGCUAACGCGUGAAGGCGAGCACUCUAGACGAACUGCCGUUGACAAAACGGAGGAAGGUGGGAUGACGUCAAAUCAUCAUGCCCCUUAUGUUCUGGGCUACACACGUGCUACAAUGGCCGGUACAGACGGACGCAAAGCCGCGAGGUGGAGCAAAUCCUAAAAAGCCGGUCUCAGUUCGGAUUGCAGGCUGCAAUUCGCCUGCAUGAAGUCGGAAUCGCUAGUAAUCGCAGGUCAGCAUACUGCGGUGAAUACGUUCCCGGGCCUU